Picea glauca (white spruce) is the source of this 61-nucleotide non-coding RNA. The record is from Rfam. NCBI's taxonomy places the organism in Eukaryota, Viridiplantae, Streptophyta, Pinopsida, Pinales, Pinaceae.
GCCCGUCUAGCACGCAAGGCUCUUAACCUUGUGAUCGUGUGUUCGAGCCUCACGGUGGGUG